AUGAAACAGUUCCUGACUGAGAGCUGCAAUUGAUCACAAUAUCAUUAGGCCCGCCUAGCAAAAUCAUGCGGGAGCAGAAAAGCGAUGAAAGAAAGAAACACAAGGGAGGGGAAGGGGAAAGAUGCACUAACAACCAAGGCUGUCAAAUGAAAGAGCUGACACAACACAAACAACAAGGGCUGUCAAAUGAAAGGGUGACAACACAAACUAUAAGUUCCCAUGUCUGCAAGUGGUUUUGGAGAACUAGCUGCUAGGUGGUCAAUAAAAAGCAUGACUAAACCAAGACACAAGCACAAAGCAUAAAAAUAUAACCCAGUGAUAUCCCAGAAUUAUAAUAAUAAAACAAUAAGUUGAGCACAAUCCUAGUCAAGAAAGAUGGCAAAUGACGUUAAUUAAAAUGGCGGAUAGAUUCAAGCAUUUAUCUAAAAAAAUAUAUGUUCACAACAUGAGCCCAUGUCACACUAACUGACAGGACUCCCAGCAAGGUAAAAAAAAAGGAUAAAGGGAACAGGAAACAGGAUAUUGCAGAAUAAACUUAUUGAAGGGACAGGCGUAGAAACAUUUUUCUUCUCAAGAUUUUUUUCAACAUUCUAGGUAAUGCACCAGGAAACAAGCACAAAAAUAGGUGCAUGAUUAUGCCUCCAAUAUCAAGUCAACCAACAAAAGUUCCAACAGAGACAUAAUUCGCCUGUAUAAAAAUUAAACAUUUGAAAUUGAAAUUCUAUUUGAAGUUUGAACUCCUAAACUUCAACUCCUGCUGCUGUGAUUCUUAUAACUUAUUGGUUAAAUUGACCUCCAAAUCAUCAUUCAAAUCAGUACCCCAACGUUAUGUUCAUCUUGUCAGUUACUUGAAACUC
This 857-nucleotide unclassified non-coding RNA is filed under the name Hevea brasiliensis (rubber tree). The record is from RNAcentral. Lineage: Eukaryota; Viridiplantae; Streptophyta; Magnoliopsida; Malpighiales; Euphorbiaceae.